This 109-nucleotide ribosomal RNA is filed under the name Amphilophus citrinellus (Midas cichlid). The record is from RNAcentral. Lineage: Eukaryota; Metazoa; Chordata; Actinopteri; Cichliformes; Cichlidae.
ACCUGUGGCCAUGCCUCCCUGAGCACACCCAAGCUUGGAAGCUAAGGAGGGUUGGGUCUGGUUAGUACUUGGAUGGGAGAACACCUGGAAAUACCAGGUGCUGUAAGCU